GGCUUGCUGGUAGUGAGUUCUACCCUUGAACGAGUCCCUUCUCUUUCCUCACAGCCCCAGGCCACUAAAUCUGGGGCUGAGGAGACCAAUAUUGACGCAGAAUCCCUUCACAAUUACAGUGGGGGCGGCAGGAGAUAGACGGGCCCCUGGGCCAGACAGCUGAUGUUUAUCAGUGGAGUAAAACUGAAGCUUCUCACCCAGACCCGCCAAGGACAAAGCUAGUGUCAGUAAAUGAGCUCUGCUGGAAUACUGAGCUCAAGGACACAUCCCUAGGAUGACUCUAGCCCCUUUUGAAGUGCCUGCCUGAGAAAACUCAAGACUGCCGAAGGGUCUUGUUCCAGCCAAUACCUGAAGGCACACACAGCGCAGCCGAGAGGAGCUACCCU
This is a long non-coding RNA of Capra hircus (goat), 386 nucleotides long. RefSeq lists it as uncharacterized. Lineage: Eukaryota; Metazoa; Chordata; Mammalia; Artiodactyla; Bovidae. The transcript is spliced from 4 exons. The record is from RefSeq and is a predicted model, not a curated record.